GACGAACGCUGGCGGCGUGCCUAAUACAUGCAAGUAGAACGCUGAAGAGAGGAGCUUGCUCUUCUUGGAUGAGUUGCGAACGGGUGAGUAACGCGUAGGUAACCUGCCUUGUAGCGGGGGAUAACUAUUGGAAACGAUAGCUAAUACCGCAUAACAAUGGAUGACACAUGUCAUUUAUUUGAAAGGGGCAAUUGCUCCACUACAAGAUGGACCUGCGUUGUAUUAGCUAGUAGGUGAGGUAACGGCUCACCUAGGCGACGAUACAUAGCCGACCUGAGAGGGUGAUCGGCCACACUGGGACUGAGACACGGCCCAGACUCCUACGGGAGGCAGCAGUAGGGAAUCUUCGGCAAUGGGGGCAACCCUGACCGAGCAACGCCGCGUGAGUGAAGAAGGUUUUCGGAUCGUAAAGCUCUGUUGUAAGUCAAGAACGAGUGUGAGAGUGGAAAGUUCACACUGUGACGGUAGCUUACCAGAAAGGGACGGCUAACUACGUGCCAGCAGCCGCGGUAAUACGUAGGUCCCGAGCGUUGUCCGGAUUUAUUGGGCGUAAAGCGAGCGCAGGCGGUUUGAUAAGUCUGAAGUUAAAGGCUGUGGCUCAACCAUAGUUCGCUUUGGAAACUGUCAUACUUGAGUGCAGAAGGGGAGAGUGGAAUUCCAUGUGUAGCGGUGAAAUGCGUAGAUAUAUGGAGGAACAUCGGUGGCGAAAGCGGCUCUCUGGUCUGUAACUGACGCUGAGGCUCGAAAGCGUGGGGAGCGAACAGGAUUAGAUACCCUGGUAGUCCACGCCGUAAACGAUGAGUGCUAGGUGUUGGAUCCUUUCCGGGAUUCAGUGCCGCAGCUAACGCAUUAAGCACUCCGCCUGGGGAGUACGACCGCAGGGUUGAAACUCAGAGGAAUUGACGGGGGCCCGCACAAGCGGUGGAGCAUGUGGUUUAAUUCGAAGCAACGCGAAGAACCUUACCAGGUCUUGACAUCCCGAUGCUAUUUCUAGAGAUAGAAAGUUACUUCGGUACAUCGGUGACAGGUGGUGCAUGGUUGUCGUCAGCUCGUGUCGUGAGAUGUUGGGUUAAGUCCCGCAACGAGCGCAACCCCUAUUGUUAGUUGCCAUCAUUCAGUUGGGCACUCUAGCGAGACUGCCGGUAAUAAACCGGAGGAAGGUGGGGAUGACGUCAAAUCAUCAUGCCCCUUAUGACCUGGGCUACACACGUGCUACAAUGGUUGGUACAACGAGUUGCGAGUCGGUGACGGCAAGCUAAUCUCUUAAAGCCAAUCUCAGUUCGGAUUGUAGGCUGCAACUCGCCUACAUGAAGUCGGAAUCGCUAGUAAUCGCGGAUCAGCACGCCGCGGUGAAUACGUUCCCGGGCCU
RNAcentral lists this ribosomal RNA (1369 nucleotides) under uncultured bacterium. RNAcentral describes it as "bacterial SSU rRNA". It matches the Rfam family "Bacterial small subunit ribosomal RNA", at positions 28 to 1381 of the family's 1533-position model. The record is from RNAcentral.